Molecule: long non-coding RNA, 653 nt
Filed under: Cyanistes caeruleus (blue tit)
Lineage: Eukaryota; Metazoa; Chordata; Aves; Passeriformes; Paridae
Description: lncRNA (ENSCCEG00000015275.1)
Source: RNAcentral
UUAGUACAUAAACAUAAUCAUAACCUAAUCUUCUUCAGUAGACUAUGACUAUUGCAAAAAUAUUUUAAGUAUCAACUGUAUUCUUAACUGCAAAGAACAGGGUAGAUUCUUACUGUGUCUGUGUCAAAUCAAUCCAUCGGUGUUAAUUCUACAAAUUACCCAAUGGUUCACGUGUAUGUUUGGUUUGUGUUAACACUUUGAGAAACACUAAAUAAUUAUUUUUGUUUAUGUUUUGUUUUUAAAUAGGAAGUUGAAAAAUCUGGAUUAAAAUUACAUCACUUGGUUUUAUAAAGUCAUGAAUUACAUCAGAUGAAAUAAUACAGCAGCUGAGUGUAGAAUGCAGAUGAAACAAUUUCCCUGCAGAGGACACUCCACUAUCAUUUCCAAACCCAACAGGUAGUCAGAGGAGUGACUGUAACUACAGCACUGUGCUCAGUGACACCCCAGAAGAUGAGCAGGAACUUGAAUGUAAAGAUACUGAUUUUGUUGAAUCUGUUUGAAAAAGAUAUUCCAGAAGCAAAGAAAUACCCUUGAACAAGACAUUGAUGGCCAUUGGAGAGCGUGUUUGUAGUGCUCUUAAGAAGACUCAAGAAGGUUACUCAGUCUUCUCACAGACAGUGAAGGAAAGUAUUCUCCUUGCUUAGAGUUUCCUG